GCCAGGUGCAACUCAAUUUGGAAAGGCAAUCAUUUAUCUUUCAUAUUUUCCUUUUUCUUGGAAUGAUUGUAAUAAUAUAUAUAAGUGGUGGUUGCCUCUGUUGCUUGAUUCAUUAUUAGUGAUUUCUAGAGUAGUGACUGAGCUGGGAAAAUAUUUCUUCUGGUGUUGUUUUAAGAUCAAUUAUUACUGCAUGUAAUUUUCUUUUGAUAUUUGAAUUUCGAUAACUGCAGUGUUUAAAUUGUUAUACUUGAUUUUAAGUUGCGUAUGUGUGCUGCUGAAAACAAUAACUGUACAAUGUGAAUUUAAAGGGUGUUUGUCUUAACUUAUAAG
RNAcentral lists this unclassified non-coding RNA (330 nucleotides) under Hevea brasiliensis (rubber tree). The record is from RNAcentral. Lineage: Eukaryota; Viridiplantae; Streptophyta; Magnoliopsida; Malpighiales; Euphorbiaceae.